AAGCGAUCGAGAAAUAUUUCCUCGACUUAAAAAAACAAAGUUGAAGUGAAGCAAGCUAUGAACUAGACAGUGUAUUCAGCUUUCUCUGCUGAAAUAAUGUGACCAAAUCAAGUGUUACCUGGAAAGAGGAAUGUCAAGGGUGCUUUUUACAUUAACUCCAAAAUAGCCAUUGGAAAGUUCAAGCCAGAUCUGCGACAGCAAACUGAACAUAAAGUGGCAUACUUGUGUGUCAGGAAACGAGG
Molecule: long non-coding RNA, 242 nt
Organism: Saccostrea cuccullata (small rock oyster)
Lineage: Eukaryota; Metazoa; Mollusca; Bivalvia; Ostreida; Ostreidae
Exons: 3
Source: RefSeq, a predicted model, not a curated record